CAAAAAGAGGUUCUUGCUGAGGGGAAAGUAAUUCAGCUAAUACUGGAUCACCUUUGGUGAAGGGACGCGUCUGGACAUUAAAAGGGCUGAUGCUAAGCCAUCUGCCUUCAUCUUCCCACCCUCUUCUGAGGAGUUAAACCUUGGAAAUGCCUCUGUCGUGUGCUUGGUGUAUGGCUUCUACCCCAGUGAAGUCACUAUCAACUGGAAAGUGGAUAGUCUUCCCAUAACCAGUAGCAUCCAGAGCAGUCGGAUGGAGCAGGACAGCAAGGACAACACCUACAGCCUCAGCAGCACCCUGACGCUGUCCAAAGAAGCCUACAAAGCUCAUAAUGUCUAUGCCUGCGAGGUCUCCCACAAGACCCUGAGCUCCCCCCUGGUCAAGAGCUUCAAUAGGGAAGAUUGUUAGAGAGGCCGGCCCACCAGGCCCAUCACCUGAGCCUCAGUCCCAGCCUCCCUUCUCCUCCCUCAGGCCUUGGCCCGUUUCCGAGAGACCUACCCUCACUGCAGUCCUCCAGCCCCUCUCCCCACUUCACUCCCCUCCCCCUCUUUGGCUUUAAUCAUGCUAAUAUUUGGGGGAAAAUGAAAAACUAAAGUGAAUCUUUGCACCUGUGA
Equus quagga is the source of this 612-nucleotide long non-coding RNA. RefSeq lists it as uncharacterized. The transcript has 2 exons. The record is from RefSeq and is a predicted model, not a curated record. Lineage: Eukaryota; Metazoa; Chordata; Mammalia; Perissodactyla; Equidae.